UCAAGUAUUGUCUUUUAGUUUGAUGUGUCAAACACUUGCUGAUAUUUGGUUUUCUCUCUCUUUCUUCUUCUUUCUUUUCUUUUCAGAGAGAUAAUGAAGAUGAAGAGUUAUAUAUGUAGUGUUUUUGUCCCAACAAAUCAUCUAUAUAUAGGUGAUAUAUUUCUCGUUAACUCCAAAGAUAUCAUAAGACCAAAUCUGUCUAUCCGAGAAGGCAUAGAGAUCAUUGUUUCUGGGGGUAUGACAAUGCCCCAAAUCAUUUCUCCUCAAGAAAGGGUUACCCAACAGAGUGAUAAAAUUCCUUUGAACAGAAUAAAGUGAUGUCAUCAAACAAGAGACGAUCCUGGUAAGAUUAUAAUUCUUUCCUUGUCUGCCAAGAUGUAUCGAGGAUCAAAGUCUUCUCAGUGCGCUGGAACUAUGAGAUUAGGUUGUUCAUAAUAGUAGGCUUUAUGAUGAAAUAGUAUGCCUCUUUUGAUUUUGUAGUGAUGCUCAUAUUUGGAAGUGCAUUUGUAUACCAUUUAAUUAUGCAUCUGUGUUCAUUUAUAGAACCAAAUGAUUCUUUAGUAUAUAUAAAUUUAUUGAGCCGUUCAAUUACGA
Long non-coding RNA from Rosa rugosa (rugosa rose), 594 nucleotides. RefSeq lists it as uncharacterized. Lineage: Eukaryota; Viridiplantae; Streptophyta; Magnoliopsida; Rosales; Rosaceae. The record is from RefSeq and is a predicted model, not a curated record. The transcript has 2 exons.